RNAcentral lists this ribosomal RNA (301 nucleotides) under uncultured bacterium. Its description in RNAcentral is "partial 16S ribosomal RNA". It matches the Rfam family "Bacterial small subunit ribosomal RNA", at positions 509 to 807 of the family's 1533-position model. The record is from RNAcentral.
CAGCCGCCGCGGUAAUACGUAGGUGGCAAGCGUUGUCCGGAAUUAUUGGGCGUAAAGGGCUCGCAGGCGGUUUCUUAAGUCUGACGUGAAAGCCCCCGGCUCAACCGGGGAGGGUCAUUGGAAACUGGGAAACUUGAGUGCAGAAGAGGUGAGUGGAAUUUCCGGUGUAGCGGUGAAAUGCGUAGAUAUCGGAAGGAACACCAGUGGCGAAAGCGGCUCACUGGACCAUUUCUGACGCUGAUGCACGAAAGCUAGGGGAGCAAACAGGAUUAGAUACCCCCGUAGUCCCUGUCUCUUAUAC